UAGACGCUAUAACUCUUCGGUCAAGAACAAUAUAUAGAAAAUAUGACAGCCACCUUAAUUCUUCAGAAAGUAUGUUACUGAUUGAAAAGUUUGGUUUAGGUCUCCAAAAGAGCACAUUCUCUGUGCUAGACUGAUUAAUAGUGUUUUAUAGGAAAACAGGCCGUUAUGGGCAUAGUUCUAGGAUUGGGCAUUUAAUGUACUGUAACAGAAAGCAGCUGUCUGUGGGUAGACAUGAAGGUGCUAUAACCACUUAGAGUACCUUCCUGAUUCACUAAUAAACCGUCCUGAGGAAUGUUGUAGCUUAUAUUAUGCUCACCGUAAGACUUUAAAAAGUGUGCGAGGAAAGAAAGUCUGAGCAAAUCCUGU
This is a non-coding RNA of Pelobates cultripes (western spadefoot toad), 366 nucleotides long. The record is from the annotation of a GenBank genome assembly. Lineage: Eukaryota; Metazoa; Chordata; Amphibia; Anura; Pelobatidae.